GACGAACGCUGGCGGCGUGCUUAACACAUGCAAGUCGAACGAUGAAACCUAGCUUGCUAGGUCGAUUAGUGGCGAACGGGUGAGUAACACGUGACUAACCUGCCCCUUUCUCUGGGAUAACGCUCCGAAAGGAGUGCUAAUACCGGAUACUCACACCGAGGCACAUGCCUUGGUGUGGAAAGUUUUUCGGAAAGGGAUGGAGUCGCGGCCUAUCAGCUUGUUGGUGAGGUAACGGCUCACCAAGGCGACGACGGGUAGCCGGCCUGAGAGGGCGAACGGCCACACUGGGACUGAGACACGGCCCAGACUCCUACGGGAGGCAGCAGUGGGGAAUAUUGCACAAUGGGCGCAAGCCUGAUGCAGCGACGCCGCGUGAGGGAUGAAGGUCUUCGGAUUGUAAACCUCUUUCAGUAGGGACGACGCGAAAGUGACGGUACCUAAAGAAGAAGCACCGGCUAACUACGUGCCAGCAGCCGCCGUAA
This 482-nucleotide ribosomal RNA is filed under the name uncultured bacterium. RNAcentral describes it as "partial 16S ribosomal RNA". It matches the Rfam family "Bacterial small subunit ribosomal RNA", at positions 28 to 523 of the family's 1533-position model. The record is from RNAcentral.